RNAcentral lists this ribosomal RNA (531 nucleotides) under uncultured bacterium. RNAcentral describes it as "bacterial SSU rRNA". It matches the Rfam family "Bacterial small subunit ribosomal RNA", at positions 775 to 1304 of the family's 1533-position model. The record is from RNAcentral.
AAAAUAGAUACCCCGGUAGUCCACGCCGUAAACGAUGAGUGCUAAGUGUUAGAGGGUUUCCGCCCUUUAGUGCUGCAGCUAACGCAUUAAGCACUCCGCCUGGGGAGUACGGCCGCAAGGCUGAAACUCAAAGGAAUUGACGGGGGCCCGCACAAGCGGUGGAGCAUGUGGUUUAAUUCGAAGCAACGCGAAGAACCUUACCAGGUCUUGACAUCCUCUGCCAACCCUAGAGAUAGGGCGUUCCCCUUCGGGGGACAGAGUGACAGGUGGUGCAUGGUUGUCGUCAGCUCGUGUCGUGAGAUGUUGGGUUAAGUCCCGCAACGAGCGCAACCCUUGAUCUUAGUUGCCAGCAUUCAGUUGGGCACUCUAAGGUGACUGCCGGUGACAAACCGGAGGAAGGUGGGGAUGACGUCAAAUCAUCAUGCCCCUUAUGACCUGGGCUACACACGUGCUACAAUGGAUGGUACAAAGAGCUGCGAACCCGCGAGGGUAAGCGAAUCUCAUAAAGCCAUUCUCAGUUCGGAUUGUAGG